CAUCAACUGUUGUGGAAAUGCAGCUGAUUAUUGAAGGAACUUUGGGUUCAUAAAGCCCUGAUUAUGUCAGACUAUCAACGGGGCAGUUUCAGGUUCUUCCAGGACUGUAACUUUGAAUGCAUUCAGGCCUCAGUCGCUCUAUUAUUGUUUUUAUUAUUAUUAUUAUUAUUAUUAUUCUUUAUUGAAACAUGCUCUAAGAUGCUUAGAAAACAGAUGGUACACUGUUGAGAGCUCAUUCCCAAAGCACUAUUUAUCUCUUUACCUGAAGUCCAGUCUCUCUACAGUGUGGAGCAUCCUGUCUGUUCAAUGUUUUAUUUAUCACCCAGGGACUGACGUGACCUCCUGUGUUUAAAAAGUACAAUAAAUUAUUGAAAGUCUGUUUUGGCAGCAACUAUGAAGAGAAUAUGUUUCUCCAAAUAUCUGGUUUUAGAGUCGAUCUCUUCUGUCUCAGUGCAUGUCCCACAGCUGUGGAACUUUUAGUCAUUGGUGUCUUGAUUUUACUAUCAAUAUUGGAGUACAGCCCACUUGCUAAUGUAGCCCACGACAUUUCCCCAGUGCCUGUCCUUAACUGUGAACGAAAUGGUCCAGAGACACACGGCGAAGGAGUUCUGUCCUCUCAUAGGAGUCUCGGUUCUCACUGGAAAAUGAGAGCAAAGCCUUAAAUUGGUCUCUAAAGCCGCUGAAAAUGCUACAAAUAUCUGCGGUCUGACUACAGAUGGCUCAGUGGAAUGAUAUCCUGAAAGCAGGGGUUGUACUUUUCCCGAUUAGUCUCACCACAAGCCUGAAAAAUCUUGGAAAACGGAAGAUAACGCCUUAGCUUUUCUUGGUAAGUUUGCCUCAAAAGGCUUCAUUUUGGGAGACAGAACUCUUCACUGUGUGGCUCUGGGGAGAACGAGGUGGUAAUUAAGCACUUGAUACCGGUUGUAAGGCGCUCUGCAGCUCUUUUUAUGCUUUUGGGUUUUAGAUGUUACAGAAACAUGACAGGAACUUAUAUAUUUUUUUGUACAAAUGUGACAAAAAUUAUGGUUGAAAACAGAAGUCUUCAGGGGCUAGCCGUGUUUUCACAGAGUUUAUUUAUCUCAUUUUGUUCCAUUAUUUUUAACUGUCAACACUGUAGUGUACAUAAGAAGUUUUGUAAAGAGGAAAAAAAACUUGUAGUGUGGUUUCUACUUUAAAUAUGAGCCUAGCUAAUAAAAGGUUCAAUGGAUGAAAA
Molecule: long non-coding RNA, 1213 nt
Organism: Amphiprion ocellaris (clown anemonefish)
Lineage: Eukaryota; Metazoa; Chordata; Actinopteri; Pomacentridae
Source: Ensembl